CCUUCAAUACAAAGAUGACAAUAACAAGUCUUAGCCCAAGACCCAUGGCCAGAUUAACCAUUCACACACCCGCCCCAGCUCAACACGCAAGAUCGAAGGACCAAAAAGCAAUAACCCAUCUGAGGCGGGUUGGGGAUCCAAAUCCAUGAACCCGUCCUGGACUACAGGCAAUACCGUCACCAAAGCGCCAACUACAUUAGCAAGACGCUACUGAGCUGGCCAUCCAUUCCCGCUGGGGAUCCAACGCCAACUGAAGCACAUAAA
This 264-nucleotide unclassified non-coding RNA is filed under the name Hevea brasiliensis (rubber tree). The record is from RNAcentral. Lineage: Eukaryota; Viridiplantae; Streptophyta; Magnoliopsida; Malpighiales; Euphorbiaceae.